This 424-nucleotide ribosomal RNA is filed under the name uncultured bacterium. RNAcentral describes it as "bacterial SSU rRNA". It matches the Rfam family "Bacterial small subunit ribosomal RNA", at positions 508 to 930 of the family's 1533-position model. The record is from RNAcentral.
ACAGCAGCCGCGGUAAUACGUAGGGGGCGAGCGUUGUCCGAAUUCACUGGGCGUAAAGCGCGCGUAGGCGGACUUUUAAGUUGGGGGUGAAAUCCCGGAGCUCAACUCCGGAACUGCCUUCAAAACUGGGAGUCUUGAGGUAUGGAGAGGGAAGUGGAAUUCCAGGUGUAGCGGUGAAAUGCGUAGAUAUCUGGAGGAACACCCGUGGCGAAGGCGGCUUCCUGGCCAUAUCCUGACGCUGAGGUGCGAAAGCUAGGGGAGCGAACGGGAUUAGAUACCCCGGUAGUCCUAGCCGUAAACGAUGGAUACUAGGUGUUAGAGGUAUCGACCCCUCUAGUGCCGCAGCUAACGCAUUAAGUAUCCCGCCUGGGGAGUACGGCCGCAAGGCUGAAACUUAAAGGAAUUGACGGGGGCCCGCACAAGG